This 6653-nucleotide long non-coding RNA is filed under the name Elaeis guineensis (African oil palm). Its description in RNAcentral is "long non-coding RNA (EGUI_LNC053202)". Lineage: Eukaryota; Viridiplantae; Streptophyta; Magnoliopsida; Arecales; Arecaceae. The record is from RNAcentral.
CCUUUCAUUUUAUCACACAAGAGAAGCUGACCAAAUCCAAAUGGAGGUCAACAUCAUGACCCUCUGUAGCAGCAAUCACAUAUAGACUAUUAGUAUGCCACAGCAUAAACAAACUAAACCACCAAUUUGGCAGGAUUCAUAGAUACCCAAUUGAUGGCUGGCAGCAUCUGCCAGGAAGCAUUUUUGUUGACAGGUCUGAGACUGUUGUUCUGCUCCUUCAAUGAUGGAUGCCUGCUCUCACUUCGCAAAGAGAGAGGUCAUGAGAGAGAUCAGCAUGCAAUGCGAUCACAUUUUUAACCAUGUGUAGGAGGACAAGGAAGAAAAUGCCAAAAAUAGAUACUCCUCACACAACAUGAAAUGUUAAACCGCCUGAAAAGAAGAAUAGACAGAGAGAAAAUUCAAGAGAAUUAUGAUCAGAAAAUUUGUAAGAAUGAAUUUCUUAAAUCAUAUGGAACAAUAACAAAUUUUGCAAGAAAAUUAUAUGAUGAAAUAGAGCAUAACCCUAUGUCACCAAGUGAUAAAUAUCAUUUCGGAGAAGAAAUCAUGAGUUAUAAAUAUACCACUAGGCAGGAAGGGUCUUCCAAGAAAUAGUAGCAAAGAAUUGUUAUCGUUGAUACAGGUACAAAGUUUAUAUAAUAUGUAAAUUGAUGCAGUUAGUUCGUGGUUCAUGCACCAUAUCAAGUUAUUGCGAAUCAUAUAAAGAAAGAGUGUAUUGUUAGUGUACUGGAUUUUACCCUUUUUUUCAGAAAAAAAGGCCCUAGAUGGAAAAAUAAUAUCUUUGGUUAAUUUUCUAGGCCAUGGUCUUAAGACCUAUCAAUUCCUUGCGUAGUUUUUCUAAAUAAAACACAAAUGGACCCAACACAUCUAUGGCAUUAAUACAAGAUUAGUCAAGAAUACUUUUACUCAUAAGUCACAACAAAAGUGUCAAAAACUGAGAACCGUAAGCCUUGUAUGUCAAAACAUUUUGUCUAUUAAGGUAAAUAGUGUUGGAAUAAAUACGUUCAAAAAAUCUAGAAAUUAUGAUUAUUGUUCUUAUAUUCUUAAAUGGUUUUAUAAAGAAAAAUAGAAUACUAAAACAAAUAAGAGAUUGAAAAGACCUUACCAGAAUCGAGGCGUAUGAAACACUACCCUAAGAACAUGAUUCGCCCCCUACGUGUGGGUCUUCGACGAUCUUAUUCCCAAUGUACAACGACCCUACUCAGUCUAAUACUUCUCUCAUGAGCACAAUCAUUGGGGAGGCUGACCCAAGAGAUUUUCUUCAGAUGCCCAAUUAAUAAAAGAAAAUGAAAAAGAGAAAGACAGUCUCUAUCUCAGAAAGUAAUAAAGAGAAACAGAAUAUAAGAAGAGAUAGAGAGAUUUUAUUGUUUUUAAACAGUCGGAUGCAGAACCUAUUUAUAGACUCUAUCCAGAUUAUCGAAGAGGCAUCAUGAUCUUGAAGAGAUACGAUGUUUCAGAAACAUCGUAUUUUUUUGGAAGGAAACUAACAUUCUCUUUCGAAGAGUUGUAUCUCUUCAGAAAGAACCAUUUAAGUUUAAAAAUAGAGUUUUAAUAUUUUUAAAUAAUAAAAUUUAAAUAUUUUUACUUUUUAUUUUAAAAUAAAACUUUAACAAUCCCCAACAAAAGAUUUAAAUUUUAAAAAUUAGAAAGAUAAAUAUUUAGGCAUCUUAUAUUGUACAAUAGGUAAAGUGUCCUCUAGACUUGAACUUCACUUAGUAUUGAUAGUAUUCAUCUGAAGAAACUAUAGUGGAUUAGACUUUGAAUUAGGUCCUUUAACUCAGACUUCAACUUUCACACAAAUAAAAUGGAUCAAAUGGGUCUUUACGCGGUCAAUGCCAUUUAGAGGCCUUGCGCUUAGUAUCUUGAUUUUUUUAUGAAAAUUUUGUUGGGGUUAACCCAAACCUCUAGUCACGAUCUAUACGAUAAUUCUCAUAUAGAUAAGUCAUCCAAGGAUAUUUGUGAUCUAACACCCUACAGAUUUUUUAUCUUGAACUCAUUAAGAGCUUAGCUCAUCCUUUUCAAAUUAUUUUAUCACUAAUAAGAGCACUCAUCAUAAGGAUGGGAGAAAAUAUACUCUGAUAAUAUGCUCUAGAAAUGAUCACUCAAUAAGCUUUAUUUCUACCACAUUGAACCUCAUUCAUGAGAUCUCGAAUCAUAGAGGUUGGGUAUCCACUAUCGGUGAUCGCAUAGUGGGCUUAAGCCUCAUCCCCCUCGAUGAUUCUAGGACUCCAUUCCUAAACAAAUCCUUGGUUAAUUGAUCUGCCAAGUUUUUUCUCUGACUCAAAAAAUUCCAAGAAAAUGACAUUACUCUUUUUGAGUUGUCUUACAAAUUUAUGAUAAAUCCAAAUAUGCCGGUUCAUCUUUUUAUUUAUACUUUUUUGAUUAGUCAGUUUGAAUACAACCCUAUUAUGACAAUGAAUUGAUAUGGCCAAAACUAGUUUAAGUAUUAAAGAUAGCUCUAAGAUAAAAUUUUUAAUCCACUCUACCUUAGUAUAGGUGGUAUCCAAAGCAAUCAAUUCAGCCUCUAUGAUGCUCCAAGAUAUAAUGACUUGCCUGGAAGAUCCUUAAGCUAUGGCAGCAUCAUCGAGAAGAAAAAGAUAUCCGAUGGUUGAUUUAAGAGCAAGUUAAUCAGUAAACUAAUUUGUAUCACUAUAACCCUCAACCACCUUAGGAUAUCCAGUGUACAAGAGAGAUAGAUCAAGGGUUCCCUUAAGAUAUCGAAAUACCUUUCAACAGCAUGACCAAUAAGAUUCAUUUGAUUUUGGAUAUAUCUACUAAAUCUCCCUACAGCAUAGGCAAUAUCAGAUCUUGUUCUCUUUGCCACAUAAAGAAAAAAAUCUAUAAUCUAAGAGUAUCUAAGUGGAUCAAUUGGUUCAUCUAAAUUCUUUUUAAGAUGGAUACUUAGAUCAUAAGGAGUAGAUAUAGAUUUCUGAUCAGAAUAUCCAAACUUUUCAAUCAUUUUCUUGAUAGAAUGAGAAAGAGGACUAUCCAUUCAGGAGAUUUGAUCAGCUUCAUUCCUAGGAUAACAUCAACUUCACCUAAAUCUUUCAUAUCAAAGUGAUUUGAAAAGAAUUGUUUGACUACAGAUAUGACUUUAUGAGAAGUUUCAAAAAUCAAAAGAUCAUCGACAUAUAAAUAGAAGAUCACAGAAUCAGCAUCAAUGAUUUUGAAAUGGACACACUUAUCAUGAUCAUUGAUUGAAAAACCAAAUGAAAGAAUAGUUCUAUCAAACUUUUCAUGCCAUUGUUUAGGCACCUGUUUAGGACCGUACAGGGACUUAACAAGUUUACAAACUUUAUUCUCUUAUCUCUUAACUAUGAAUCCCUCAGGUUAUUCUAUAUAGAUCUUUUCAUCUAGAUCUCCAUUUAGAAAUACAGUCUUCACAUUCAUUUAAUGAAUGAUCAACUUAUAGAUGGAAGCAAUGGCAAGAAGAGUUUUAAGGAUAGAUAUUCUAGCUACAGGAGAAUAUGUAUCAAAAUAAUCCAAUUUUUUUUCUGAUUAUACCCCUUAGCUACUAAUCUAGUCUUAUACUUUUCUAUUGAUCCAUCAGGUCUAAGCUUCCUGCGAAAUAUCCACUUACAACCUAAUGGUUUACUACCUGGAGGAAGAUUAGUAAGGAUCCAUAUUUUAUUUUGGAUUAUUGAGUUGAAUUUAGAGUUAAUAGCUUCCUUCCAAAAAGGAGCAUCAAGUGAAAACAUUGCCUCCACAAAAGUGAAAGAUUCACCUUCAACAAAAAAGGUAAAGAAGCUUUCAUCAAGAUCUUUUUCUUUUCUAGCCCUUGUGCUUCUUCUAGGUUCAGAAAGUCCACGAUCAGAGUUAGAUCUUUUCCUCUUUUUUGAAUCAUAAGGAAACUCUGAUUUAAUGAGACUAGGAUUAGAAGAUAGAUCAGAUUGAAUUGGAUUUGAAAUUUGAUUUCUAAAAGAAAAGAUAUUUUCAAAAUAAGUAGCAUCUCUAACCUCGAUUAGAGUGUUACUAGAGAUGUCACUUAUUUCAAAAUUUAUUACUAAAAAUUUAUUAGUGCUAUUAUCUAAGGAGUAUCCUACAAAAAUUGCAUCUAUAGUUUUAGGAUCAAUUUUUAUUUUCUUAGGUUCAGAUAUAUCUACCUUAGCUAAGCACCUUCACACUUUUAGGUAAUCUAAUCUAGGAGUUCUAUCCUUCCAAAGUUUAAAAGAAGUCUUAUUUCCAUCCUUAAAAUAUAUUCUAUUUAGGAUAUAACAGGCUACUAAUAAAGCUUACCCCCAUAAGUUCUUGGGUUUAAUUGCACUAUGAUCAUCAAAUGAAGCCAUUUAUGAUGUUUUGGUUGUUUAAUUGGUUUUGCAAAUAAAGUUUCAAGCGGUUUAGCCUUAUAUAUUUGAGUAAUUAAUUAAUGACUUAGAAUGAUACAAUUCUAGAUUUUAAAAUAAAUAUAAUAAAGAACAUUAAUAAGAACAAAAUUAAAUGAUUAUACUAAAAAUAUGACAAAAAAAAUAACUAUAUUAUUUUGUAUAUUUUUCAAGGCAGCAGCAAUAUUAAUUUUGAAAGAAUAACUAUCAACUUGCACAACUUUCAGGGCAACAAAAUUUUUUUAUGCUUUUGCAUAGAUUUUAAAAUUACAGAAAAAACAUGCAGAAAUUAAUUUAAACAAAAAUUUUGCAUGGAUUUUAAAAAGCCUGCAAAGACUAAUUUAAACAGAAAUUAAGGUUGUUUUUCAUGGCUUUUAAUGCAAGAGCAAAAAUUUCUGCACCACUUUUUUAAUCAACAGAAAAUUUCUGGAUAAUUUUUUUUAAAAAAAAAUCUGCUGAAAUCUGCAGAAAAUUUCUGCACUAUUUUUAAUGUUGCAAAAAAAAUUCUUUAAAGAAUUUAGAAGUGCAGAAAUUUUCUAUGUUCUUUUUUCAACAAUUGUAGAAAAUAAUGUGCACUAUUUUUAGAGUAAAUAAGUUUGCUAAUAAAUCUAAAAUCCUAAGAAGAACAAUCUCUAAAUGAUAAAUACUAAAAUUUUUGGUAUUAUGUAAUCAAUUUAAAGUUAAUUCUAAACAACGAAUAAUAAUUUCUAAUUUUAUCAAGAUCACGUUCUUAGACUGCUGGAAUAAAUACGUUCAAAAAGCUUAGAAAUUAUUAUUAUUGUUCUUACGAUUCUUAGAUGGUUUUAUAAAGAAAAAUAGAGUACUAAAAUAAAUAAAAGAUUGAAAAGAUCUUGCCUAAAUUGAGGCGUAUGAAACACUACCCUAAGAACGUGAUUCGCCCCCUACGUGUAGGUCUUUGGCGAUCUUAUUCCCAAGGUACAAUGACUCGGCUUAAUUCGAUCCUCCCCUCCCAAGCAUAAUUGUUGGGGAGGCGCUGACCUAAGAGAUUUCUUUCAGAUGCCCAAUUAAUAAAAGAAAAUGGAAAAGAGAAAGAUGAUCUCUGUCUCAGAAAGUAAUAGAGAGAAACAAAACACAAGAAGAGAGAAAAAUUUUAUUAUUUUUAAAUAGUCAGAUCCAGAAUCUAUUUAUAGACUCUAUCUAGAUUACUAAGGAGGCAUCAUGGUUUCAAAAAGAUACGAUGUUUCAGAAACAUCAUAUUUCGAAAAACAACAUUCUCUUCCGAAGAAUCAUGUCUCUUCGAAAAAAAUUGUUAAGUUUAAAAAUAGUGUUUUAAUAUUUUUAAAUAACUAAAAUUUAAGAGAUAAACAAAUUUAAAUCUUUUUAUUUUUAUUUUUAAAUAAAAGUCUAACAAAUAGGACACAUCAGGUAUAAACAGGAAACUCAUCCCAUUACCAUGGCCUUGGACCUUCAUUAAUGUUGCACAGACACAAAAGGCAGAGUCAGAUUUGGACAUAUAUAGAAGUGUUUGCCUUAGCAAGAGAAGGAAAAAAGAGAUACAAGGGAAGGAAAAAAUAAUAUUAGUUGAAUUGCAUUAAUAUCAAAUCAGCAAUACUGUAAAAUUGAAAAUUUUUUAAAAAUUUGUCAAGGCCUUCAUCUUUUGCAUAAAAAUUGACAAGUUUCUUUACUGUUAAGUGGUAGUCGACGUCUGGAACAUUUUGUUGAAGGGUGCAUGCAAGUGAAGUUGUGUGCAGCCAAAUGUGAAAAAGUAGUCUAACUCCAUAAAUAUUCAAAAUCUACGAUCAAACAUUCCAACAAGAAAACUAAAGUACUAAACAAAUCUAUGGCUCACCGAUGGAUACCAAUUUAGGGCCUCUUUAGAUGCAUAGGCCACAUGUAGUAUACGAUUAAGAAACCAUAAAAACUAAGUGAUGCAUGAGGUGUUGGAUUUUAGGUAUUUUACAUGCAAAUUUCCAAACAAUUUUGAAUUUAAGCAGCGGAAGUCAAGAUUAAAACAGUUUUAAUCCUACGCAUGCAUAGAUCAAAAUUUUAUACCUAUUGAUUUAGUUUAUAUGAUGAUAAAUAAAACAUAAAACAUCUGAUUUUAGAGAUUAAAAAUUUAUUUGUGAUGGAAUCACAUACCUGAAUCAUAGAACUUCUCGAAUCCGGAUCUAUGAAUGCCUUCAGGUUCUGAUUUAGCCGCAUAUGUGUCCGACCUCUACGGAUAUCCACACAAAGUCUGAUCUAAUCGGAGGCUCUAUGUUCUCUCCGGAGUGCUAGCUCCCUUGCAGAGAAUGCUUUCUUGAUGGUUGAACAAGAUCUCCUUCAAUCUCCAAGACAAUCUCAAGAAAGAAGAAGAUAAAGUAUAGAAGGAAG